AAUAGAUACCCAGGUAGUCCACGCCGUAAACGAUGAGUGCUAAGUGUUAGAGGGUUUCCGCCCUUUAGUGCUGCAGCUAACGCAUUAAGCACUCCGCCUGGGGAGUACGGUCGCAAGACUGAAACUCAAAGGAAUUGACGGGGGCCCGCACAAGCGGUGGAGCAUGUGGUUUAAUUCGAAGCAACGCGAAGAACCUUACCAGGUCUUGACAUCCUCUGACAACUCUAGAGAUAGAGCGUUCCCCUUCGGGGGACAGAGUGACAGGUGGUGCAUGGUUGUCGUCAGCUCGUGUCGUGAGAUGUUGGGUUAAGUCCCGCAACGAGCGCAACCCUUGAUCUUAGUUGCCAGCAUUUAGUUGGGCACUCUAAGGUGACUGCCGGUGACAAACCGGAGGAAGGUGGGGAUGACGUCAAAUCAUCAUGCCCCUUAUGACCUGGGCUACACACGUGCUACAAUGGAUGGUACAAAGGGCUGCAAGGCCGCGAGGUCAAGCCAAUCCCAUAAAACCAUUCUCAGUUCGGAUUGU
RNAcentral lists this ribosomal RNA (526 nucleotides) under uncultured bacterium. RNAcentral's name for it is "bacterial SSU rRNA". It matches the Rfam family "Bacterial small subunit ribosomal RNA", at positions 777 to 1301 of the family's 1533-position model. The record is from RNAcentral.